GAUGAACGCUGGCGGCGUGCCUAAUACAUGCAAGUCGAGCGAACAGACGAGGAGCUUGCUCCUCUGACGUUAGCGGCGGACGGGUGAGUAACACGUGGAUAACCUACCUAUAAGACUGGGAUAACUUCGGGAAACCGGAGCUAAUACCGGAUAAUAUAUUGAACCGCAUGGUUCAAUAGUGAAAGACGGUUUUGCUGUCACUUAUAGAUGGAUCCGCGCCGCAUUAGCUAGUUGGUAAGGUAACGGCUUACCAAGGCAACGAUGCGUAGCCGACCUGAGAGGGUGAUCGGCCACACGGGAACUGAGGCACGGUCCAGACUCCUACGGGAGGCAGCAGUAGGGAAUCGUCCGCAAUGGGCGAAAGCCUGACGGAGCAACGCCGCGUGAGUGGUGAAGGUCUUCGGAUCGUAAAACUCUGUUAUUAGGGAAGAACAAAUGUGUAAGUAACUAUGCACGUCUUGACGGUACCUAAUCAGAAAGCCACGGCUAACUACGUG
RNAcentral lists this ribosomal RNA (497 nucleotides) under uncultured bacterium. RNAcentral's name for it is "partial 16S ribosomal RNA". It matches the Rfam family "Bacterial small subunit ribosomal RNA", at positions 28 to 507 of the family's 1533-position model. The record is from RNAcentral.